Molecule: ribosomal RNA, 246 nt
Filed under: uncultured bacterium
Lineage: Bacteria
Description: partial 16S ribosomal RNA
Rfam family: Bacterial small subunit ribosomal RNA
Source: RNAcentral
AGGCGACUGGGCGCGGAACCUGAAAACCUGUCUCAGUUCGGAUCGGAGUCUGCAACCCGACUCCGUGAAGCUGGAUUCGCUAGUAAUCGCGCAUCAGCCAUGGCGCGGUGAAUACGUUCCCGGGCCUUGUACACACCGCCCGUCACACCAUGAGAGUCGGGAACACCCGAAGUCCGUAGUCUAACCGCAAGGGGGGCGCGGCCGAAGGUGGGUCCGGUAAUUGGGGUGAAGUCGUAACAAGGUACC